Molecule: long non-coding RNA, 273 nt
Organism: Sinocyclocheilus grahami
Lineage: Eukaryota; Metazoa; Chordata; Actinopteri; Cypriniformes; Cyprinidae
Exons: 3
Source: RefSeq, a predicted model, not a curated record
CUGGAUGUGGCGAAGGACACACAAAUGCAGUCAUUGAGUGUGAAAAUUAAAGGUAAAGCAGAGGUUUGCUGGACAGAACGUCAUGGUCAAACAACUGUUGUUUACUCGGAUAAGGAGAAGUAUUAUUCAGUGGAGAGGUUUUUCGUUAUGGAGGACAAAACACAUGGUAAUGACCAUGAGAUGCUGAACGAUCCCUCCGGACAGCCGUAUUCUUUGGUUUGUUGUGCCAGGGCGUCACGUUUACCCAUUCAUCCUUUCAGUUGCCUUAACAGU